RNAcentral lists this long non-coding RNA (2755 nucleotides) under Salmo salar (Atlantic salmon). RNAcentral describes it as "lncRNA (ENSSSAG00000085230.1)". The stretch from base 1299 to 1380 matches the Rfam family "mir-221 microRNA precursor family". Lineage: Eukaryota; Metazoa; Chordata; Actinopteri; Salmoniformes; Salmonidae. The record is from RNAcentral.
GGGAGAGGUAAAGAAAGAGGAAUAGAGGGGGAAAGAGAGGGAGAGGUAAAGAAAGAGGAAUAGAGGGGGAAAGAGAGGGAGAGGUAAAGAAAGAGGAAUAGAGGGGGAAAGAGAGGGAGAGGUAAAGAAAGAGGAACAGAGGGGGAAAGAGAGGUAAAGAAAGAGGAAUAGAGGGGGAAGAGAGAGAGGUAAAGAAAGAGGAAUAGAGGGGAAAGAGAGAGAGUUAAUGCUGUAACAUGUGAUAGUGUUUUUUUCUCGGCAGGGCUGGGUUGUGAGAGCGGGGUCGGGAGCGGGGUCGGCAGUGUGGUGGGAAAGCACCUUUAGCCCAGAGGGACUUAAAGAGAGAGAGAGAGAGUGAGUGUGUGUAUGUCUGUGAGAGUGUGUGUGUGUGUGUCUGUGAGAGAGAGUGUGUCUGUGUGUUUGUGUCUGUGUGCGUGUCUGUGUGAGAGAGUGUGUGUGUGUCUGUGUGAGAGUGUGUAUGUGUCUGUGUGUGCGUGUCUAUGUGAGAGAGUGUGUGCAUGUCUGUGUGAGAGAGUGUGUGUGUGUCUGUGUGUGCGUGUCUGUGUGAGAGAGUGUGUGCGUGUCUGUGUGUGCGUGUCUGUGUGAGAGAGUGUGUGUGUGUGUGUGUGUGUGUGUGUGUGUGUGUGUGUGUGUGUGUGUGUGUGUGUGUGUGUGUGUGUGUGUGUGUGUGUGUGUGUGUGUGUGUGUGUGUGUCGGCUUCAGCACAGCGCUGUCACUUUAAGCCUGUUACUGAUUACACUCUGAAGAAUGUAACCGAAGGAGAAAAAAGACUGAAAGAGAAAGAGAAAGGGAGAGGAGAGGAGAGAGAGGAGAGGGGGGAGAGGGAGAGAGGAGAGAGAGAGGGAGAGAGAGAGAAAGGAGAGAGAGAGACAUGUAAGGACAGAUUCUUUUGAAUUUGGUUUAGUUAAGUUUGGAAGUUAGAGAGACAAUUCUCUCUCUUCUCUCCCUGAGAGAGGCAAACUGGAGGGGAACCCCAGAUUAUCUGACAGAGAGAGCGGGGAGGGGGCAGAGAGAAAGUGGAAGAAGAGGGGAACCGACAGAGAGACAGACCAACACAGAGAGAGAGACAGAGAGAAAGAGAAAUGGAGAGGGUCCAGCGAGAAGCUCACAGCCAUCAGGAGGAAAUGCUCUGAGUAGAAUGGAUCCUGAUGAUCAUGAUGAAGAUUCUGAAGAUUCUUCCAAGCAGCAAAGUCAUCCACGUGGAUCCUCUCUAUCUGUGACCCAGUCCCUCGAUCUCCCCAUCCCUCUCCUCCAUUCAUUUACUCUGUAUUUGCGUGUUGGUCAGUUGCUCAGUAGGCAGUGUAGAUCCUGUAUAAUGAUCAGCAGCUACAUCUGGCUACUGGGUCUCUGAAGACACGCCUCCUACUUCCUGCCUAGUGGUUAAUUGCACAUUUCAUUUCUCUCUGAUUGGCUAGUAUGUUAUCAUAUGGGGGGGUUACAUCCUAUGAAUCUCUCUGUGCCUGUCAGGGCUUUAUUUCUGAUUCUUUUCUUUCUGUCUCUUUUCUUUUUAAUCUCUUCUUUUUCUCUCCUCUCCUGUCAAAUCUCUUCUCCCGCUGUAGCGUCCUUGGCGGUGAGCCAUUCAAAGGGUUCUUGGUAUUCUUUAAUGAAUUGUGCUGUUUUCUAAAAGAUGCUGACUGGCGGCCCAUAGAAAAGAGAUUGACGAGAGCAGAGAAAAACAUGUCAGGCACAAUAGAAAAGAGCCUUUAAGAGAGGAGAGCAUUGUUUAGGAUGUGAUGCAUGCAGUUUCCCUAGAAAUCACUCAAUAGAGAACAGAUGAAAUGCCACAUUCUAUGAUAACUCUGUGUGUAUGCAUGGGUGCGUGAGUGGGUGCGGGUGUGUUUGUGUGUGUGUGUGUGUGUGUGUGUGUGUGUGUGUGUGUGUGUGUGUGUGUGUGUGUGUGUGUGUGUGUGUGUGUGUGUGUGUGUGUGUGUGUGUGUGUGUGUGUGUGUUUGUGUGUGUGUGUGUGUGUGCGUGAGACAGCUGAUGAGACAUCUUUGCUUGGUCCUGGACCUAGCAUACAAUGUAGAUUUCUGUGUGGUUUAAGCUACAGCUACAUUGUCUGCUGGGUUUUAGGCUGGCAACAAAAACAGCCUUGAACCGCUGAAGGAUUUCAAUAACUGGCAACAUAAACAGCCUUCAACAGCUGAAGGAUUCAAUAACUGGCAACAAAAACAGCCUUCAACAGCUGAAGGAUUCAAUAACUGGCAACAUAAACAGCCUUCAACAGCUGAAGGAUUCAAUAACUGGCAACAAAAACAGCCUUCAACAGCUGAAGGAUUCAAUAACUGGCAACAAAAACAGCCUUCAACAGCUGAAGGAUUCAAUAACUGGCAACAAAAACAGCCUUCAACAGCUGAAGGAUUCAAUAACUGGCAACAUAAACAGCCUUCAACAGCUGAAGGAUUCAAUAACUGGCAACAUAAACAGCCUUCAACAGCUGAAGGAUUUAAUAACUGGCAACAAAAACAGCCUUCAACAGCUGAAGGAUUCAAUAACUGGCAACAAAAACAGCCUUCAACAGCUGAAGGAUUCAAUAACUGGCAACAAAAACAGCCUUCAACAGCUGAAGGAUUUAAUAACUGGCAACAAAAACAGCCUUCAACAGCUGAAGGGUUCAAUAACUCAAUGACUCAACGAGGUAAGUUCACAUUCAUUCUGCAACUAUGUGUCAAAUGUUUCACAUUGAAAAUACAAUAAUUGAAAAAUAUGUAAUAAACAUAUAUAUACACAAGUA